CACAUCUUAAGAGAAAGGAAAUGUACACAGAGAAUUGGACGCGGGGUAUUUUUUAUGGGUCAAGCCGGAACUCAGUCCUAUGGCCACAAAGAAAUAGGGGAGGCUAGAAAAUUGUUCUAGCUCCUCUUUGACAUUUUAUUAUUGAGUUAAAGGAGUUCAUUACACAUUUAGGAUUCCAAUCUUUGUUAAACAUAUUAAUUGCAAAUAUUUUUCCCCUGUUGUAGCUUGACUUUUCAUUGUCUUUCUAGUGAAGAUUGAUGUGGAGAAGUUUUAAUUUUUUUGAGUUACUAUUUAUCACAUUUUUUCUUUAUGUUCAGUGCUGGGUGCUUUUUUGUUUGUUUGUUUGUUUGGUGAGGAAGAUUGGCCCUGAGCUAACCUCUGUACCAAUCGUUGCAAUGAUCAUAAUGGUGAUAAAUUUCAUUUUUGCAAUUAUGUUUGUACGUUAUGUUUUUCUUGCUAAACAUUAAGCUUAGUGAGAAUAGAUACCAUGUCUUCAUUUUUUUUAAUUGGAGAUUUUGUGCUCGACGCAUACAAAUUUGUAAACAAGUAUUUCUGUUAGACUGGAUUCCAUAAGGUAGAGAUGAUUUUAAAUUUCAGUAAGGGCUGUUUAUGCAUUUCUGUGAGUUUAAAAAUACUGAGACAUAAAUCCACAUAAAUAAUGUCACAUGGGCAGACUUUGUUUUUAUCCCAAUGUUUCUAUUGCUCCCAAUAUUUUUAAAGUGUUCCUCAGUUGUGGCAAAUCUGUCAUGUAAGUGUGGAUUUGAUAUAACGAUGAGGCAAACGUCAUUCUCUAGUUAACACUAGAGACUACAGUGAGUGAUUAAAUCAGAUAAAUCAUUAAAAUGACUUUUGAGGUGUGACAGUAAAGAUAUUGACUUUUCUAGGUUUCUAUAACUUUUGACUUGAAGGUAACCUUAGAUAACCCUAAACAAUAAGUAGUGUAUGACUUUCGAAAGUGGGUUACUUGGACAUAUUCAAAAUCUAUUUGGAUGCUGAAGAGAUUGAAUUUUUUUUUUUAAAUAUGACUACUGUGUGUAUUUCCAGCUAUACUCUGAGAUUGUUUGAUCUCCAAAGAUUUAGGUCUCAAGUUGCCACAGUAAAAUAUUUCAGAUUCCCUUCGUUCUAAAUACGGAAAAUCUCUCCUUCAACAGUGUACCCUAAAUAUAACCAGGAAAGAUAUGAAAAUUUCAUGUCUUCUUGUUAAAAUUAUAUACUUUGGCAAGGGCUAAGUUACUUAUACAUAUUAAACAGAUAUUACUGAUACUAUAGCAGCAAGGGAAAAAUAACAGGUGCUAAGCUAUGCAAGCUGUAAUAUUUGUUAUGCUCUGUAAAGACGGCAGGAGAAUCCUCCUGUGGAACUCGUUGGGAGUUCUUUAGGCAGCUAGUGAAAGGAAAGACAGAUAAAGUGCUGUCUAGGCCCAGGCUAUUUUGUGUUAAUAUAGGGCUGCCCGAUUUAUCAAAUAAAAAUACAAGACAUCUAGUUAAAUCUGAAUUUGAGAUAAACAAUGAAUAAUUAUUUAUAACAUAAACAUUUUGUGUGUAAAAUAAAAAUAAUUUUAUAGUAUGCAGUAUUUGGCAUAUACUUAUGCUAAACCAUCAUUCUCUGUGGAUUUCAAACUUAAAUUUAACUGGUCACACUAUAUCUUAUUUGCCAAUCGUAUUUUUUUAAAAGUUUUACGGAGAUAGAAUUCACAUACAAUUCACCCAUUUUUAUUGUGCAAUUCAAUGGAUUUUAGUAUACUCGCAGAGUUUUAAAACUGUCACCACAAUCACUUUUAGAACAUUUUCAUUGCCACAAAAAGAAACCCUAUAGCCAUUAGCAGUCACUCCCCAUUCCCACCCAGCCCCACCACAUCUCCUUGGCCCAGGCUAACACUAAUCUACAUUCCACCUCUAGAUUUGCCUAUACUGGAUAUUUCAUAUAAAUGGAAUGAUAAAAUAUGUGGUCUUUUAUAACUGGCUUCUUUCAGUUGGCAUAAUGUUCUCAAAGUUCUUUCAUGUUAUAACAUGUAUCAGGAUGUCAGUACUUCAUUGUAUUUUAUUGCUGAAUAACAUGCCAUUUUAUGGAUACACCACAUUUUGCUUAUCCAUUCAUCAGUUGAUGGACAUUUGGGUUUUUUCCAACUUUUUGCCAGUUAUGAAUAAUUGUGAUAUGAACAUGGUGUAUGAAUUAUGUAAGGUUGGAUUUGUUGGGUCAUAUGAUAACUGUGUUUAAUUUUUUGUGGAACUAACAAAUUGUCUUCCAGAGAGACCGUACCCUUUUCCAUUCUCACCAGAAAUGCAGGAGGAUUCCAAUUUUUCCACAUCUUCACCGACACUUAGUACCCGUUUUCUUUUUUAAUUAAUGCCAUCCUAUUGGAUGUGAAGUGGUAUUUUAUUUUCAAACCCAUUUAUGUCUGAUAUUAUUAUAACUGCUCCAGCUUUCUUACGGCUGUUGUUCACGAGAUGGUGUUUUACCGUUCUUUUUUUUUCAGUCUAUUUGUAUCUUUCACUGUGUCUCCUGUAGACAGCAUAUUGCUGGAUCUUAUUUUGUAUCCAGUAUGGAAAUCUCUGCCUUUUAAUUGGAAUGUUUAAUUCAUGCAUGUUUAAUGUUAUUAUGGAUAUGGUUGGAUUUACGUCUGUGGUUUUGCUUUUCAUAGGUCUAUGUCUCAUGUUUUUUUCUUCCUCUCUUUCUCCUUCACUAUGUUGUCUUGAAUUAGGUAAAUAUUUUCUAAUGCAGUAUUUUAGUUUCUUAAAAAAAAUUAAACUCACUAAUAAAAUUAUAUUUUUAGAUUAUUUUCUUAUUGGUUGCUGUAUGCUUCCUCCUGGCAACCCUAACUUAAGGCCGUUUUUCCCCAACUCCCUGAAUAACUGCAGGCCUGACUGAGAUUGGUUAGUCCUUACACCUACAGAGAAAAUCAAUGCGAUCUAAGGAGGGAACCGAAUGCCUGCUUGCAAUACCGCUGCUAUUAUUACAUUAAAUACGCAAGAGGCAAAUUUACUGUCUCCAAAACUCCACUGCUAAAAUUUUAUUUAACUUAGUUAUUUAUUGAGUACCUGCUAUUUUCCCAGCUCUUUGCUAGUAAAGAUUUAAAUUUCUGCAACAGCAAAAAUGAAUACUGCAUGUAAAGGUCAGAGUUAAAAUUGUGGUCAGAUUCAGAAAUCCAAGAAAAUGGAAUGAGCGACAUGAGGCCAAAGAAAAUCAAUUUAGAGAGAAGAUUCACUCCUGAGUGUAAAGUAGUAGUCAGAUACUCAGAUGUUUCCAGAUCCUCUAGACAACUGGAGUAAACCAUAUGCUUAAUAUUGUAAGGAAACCGAUUCAAAGACCCUAUCUCUUACACAGUGGGAAACUGAACAUCUUUCAUAAGAUCUCUGGAGACCUUGUGGGUGUCUGCCAAUCUAGCACCCUGCUGCUCAUGAGUUCUGGAUCCUUGCUCACUCUUCUGCCUACUGUAAUUCUUAUUUCUUCCCAUUUCAAGUAAAUACUACUUUCACUCCCGCAUCAAAAAAGAAAAACAAAACGAAACAAACACGUUGUCAGAAAGUCACAGGUUGGUAAGACUCUAUCAGAGUCCUCCUAGUGAAAAGAAGAGGAGCUGCAUUAUCAUGAAUCAUAGUCAAUAACUUAAAACCAAGUUAUUACUAAG
RNAcentral lists this long non-coding RNA (3626 nucleotides) under Equus caballus (horse). RNAcentral describes it as "lncRNA (ENSECAG00000043998.1)". Lineage: Eukaryota; Metazoa; Chordata; Mammalia; Perissodactyla; Equidae. The record is from RNAcentral.